This 520-nucleotide ribosomal RNA is filed under the name Barytelphusa cunicularis. RNAcentral describes it as "partial 16S ribosomal RNA". It matches the Rfam family "Bacterial large subunit ribosomal RNA", at positions 1830 to 2589 of the family's 2925-position model. Lineage: Eukaryota; Metazoa; Arthropoda; Malacostraca; Decapoda; Gecarcinucidae. The record is from RNAcentral.
UCUGUUUGGAGAUAUAAAAAGUCUGGCCUGCCCMCUGAUUGAAUAAAAGUUUUUAAGGGCCGCGGUAUUAUGACCGUGCAAAGGUAGCAUAAUCAUUAGGUUUUUAAAUGGAAUCUUGUAUGAAUGGUCGAACAAAAGAAAAACUGUCUUUAAAAUAAUAUUUGAAUUUAACUUUUAAGUGAGAAGGCUUAAAUAUCUUAGAGGGACGAUAAGACCCUAUAAAGCUUUAUAUUAUGGUUAAAUUUAAUUGAAUUUUAAUAAUAAGAGUUUAAUUUAAUUGUUUUAUUGUGUUGGGGCGAUAAAAGUAAAAGUUAUAAUAACUGCUAGUGAAAAAGAACAAUUAUAAGUGGAUUAAUAAAAGUAGAAGAUCCUAUAUUUAGAUUACAAGAUUAAGUUACUUUAGGGAUAACAGUGUAAUUUUUUUCGAGAGUUCAUAUCGAAAAAAAAGUUUGCAACCUCGAUGUUGAAUUAAGAUAUCUAUAUAAUGUAGAUGUUAUAUAAGAAGGUCUGUUCGACCUUU